RNAcentral lists this ribosomal RNA (479 nucleotides) under uncultured bacterium. RNAcentral's name for it is "partial 16S ribosomal RNA". It matches the Rfam family "Bacterial small subunit ribosomal RNA", at positions 30 to 507 of the family's 1533-position model. The record is from RNAcentral.
UGACCGCUGGCGGCGUGCUUAACACAUGCAAGUCGAACGAAACACCUUAUUUGAUUUUCUUCGGAACUGAAGAUUUGGUGAUUGAGUGGCGGACGGGUGAGUAACGCGUGGGUAACCUGCCCUGUACAGGGGGAUAACAGUCAGAAAUGACUGCUAAUACCGCAUAAGACCACAGCACCGCAUGGUGCAGGGGUAAAAACUCCGGUGGUACAGGAUGGACCCGCGUCUGAUUAGCUGGUUGGUGAGGUAACGGCUCACCAAGGCGACGAUCAGUAGCCGGCUUGAGAGAGUGAACGGCCACAUUGGGACUGAGACACGGCCCAAACUCCUACGGGAGGCAGCAGUGGGGAAUAUUGCACAAUGGGGGAAACCCUGAUGCAGCGACGCCGCGUGAGUGAAGAAGUAUUUCGGUAUGUAAAGCUCUAUCAGCAGGGAAGAAAAUGACGGUACCUGACUAAGAAGCCCCGGCUAACUACGUG